AUUGAACGCUGGCGGCAGGCCUAACACAUGCAAGUCGAAUGGUAACAGGAAACAGCUUGCUGUUUCGCUGACGAGUGGCGGACGGGUGAGUAAUGUCUGGGAAACUGCCUGAUGGAGGGGGAUAACUACUGGAAACGGUAGCUAAUACCGCAUAACGUCGCGAGACCAAAGAGGGGGACCUUCGGGCCUCUUGCCAUCAGAUGUGCCCAGAUGGGAUUAGCUAGUAGGUGGGGUAACGGCUCACCUAGGCGACGAUCCCUAGCUGGUCUGAGAGGAUGACCAGCCACACUGGAACUGAGACACGGUCCAGACUCCUACGGGAGGCAGCAGUGGGGAAUAUUGCACAAUGGGCGCAAGCCUGAUGCAGCCAUGCCGCGUGUAUGAAGAAGGCCUUCGGGUUGUAAAGUACUUUCAGCGGGGAGGAAGGGAGUAAAGUUAAUACCUUUGCUCAUUGACGUUACCCGCAGAAGAAGCACCGGCUAACUCCGUG
RNAcentral lists this ribosomal RNA (490 nucleotides) under uncultured bacterium. RNAcentral describes it as "partial 16S ribosomal RNA". It matches the Rfam family "Bacterial small subunit ribosomal RNA", at positions 30 to 507 of the family's 1533-position model. The record is from RNAcentral.